Molecule: ribosomal RNA, 119 nt
Filed under: Triticum aestivum (bread wheat)
Lineage: Eukaryota; Viridiplantae; Streptophyta; Magnoliopsida; Poales; Poaceae
Also listed under: 1 other name
Source: RNAcentral
GGAUUUGAUCAUACCAGCACUAAAGCACCGGAUCCCAUCAGAACUCCGAAGUUAAGCGUGCUUGGGCGAGAUUAGUACUAGGAUGGGUGACCUCUUGGGAAGUCCUCGUGUUGCAUUCC